UGAAAAUGUGGAGUGUAAAAAGUCAUAAGGC
This 31-nucleotide non-coding RNA is filed under the name Rattus norvegicus (Norway rat). Lineage: Eukaryota; Metazoa; Chordata; Mammalia; Rodentia; Muridae. The record is from RNAcentral.